This 73-nucleotide transfer RNA is filed under the name Felis catus (domestic cat). It matches the Rfam family "tRNA". Rfam says of the family: Transfer RNA (tRNA) molecules are approximately 80 nucleotides in length. Their secondary structure includes four short double-helical elements and three loops (D, anti-codon, and T loops). The record is from Rfam by way of RNAcentral. Lineage: Eukaryota; Metazoa; Chordata; Mammalia; Carnivora; Felidae. RNAcentral also lists the same sequence under 4 other names.
ACCUGGCUGGCUCAGUUGGUAGAGCAUGCAAUUCUUGAUUUCUUGGUUGUGAGUUCAAGCCCCAUGUUGGGUG